This 204-nucleotide long non-coding RNA is filed under the name Capsicum annuum. RNAcentral's name for it is "long non-coding RNA (CANN_LNC015186)". Lineage: Eukaryota; Viridiplantae; Streptophyta; Magnoliopsida; Solanales; Solanaceae. The record is from RNAcentral.
AGAAAAAUAAAUAAAGUAACCUUACUUGUUCUGCGAGUUUAGGCAAUGGUAUAAUAGGGCUAGGGUCAUUAACAAAAAAUGCCUCACUAUCUAUAGUAGCAAUGUCCAAAUCGGCAAACUCGCUAUGUUGGUCUUUUGCCUUCUUUAUUUUGUGCUUCCAUUAUUGUUCUUGAUAACCUUUCAUUGAGCUAGUGUCACCAUUAG